AACGAACGCUGGCGGCAUGCCUAACACAUGCAAGUCGAACGAGACCUUCGGGUCUAGUGGCGCACGGGUGCGUAACGCGUGGGAACCUGCCCUUAGGUUCGGAAUAACUCCCCGAAAGGGGUGCUAAUACCGGAUAAUGUCUUCGGACCAAAGAUUUAUCGCAUUUGGAUGGGCCCGCGUUGGAUUAGCUAGUUGGUAGGGUAAAAGCCUACCAAGGCGACGAUCCAAAGCUGGUCUUGGAGGAUGAUCAGCCACACUGGGACUGGCACACGGCCCAGGCCCUCCCGGAAGGGCGCAUGGGGGAAGUUGGAACACCGGGCGAAAGCUUAACCCCUCCUGCCCGGAGAAGUGAGGAAGGCGUUAGGUUUUAAAAUCUCUUUUACCCGGGAUGUUAAGGCCAUACCCGGGAGAAAAGCCCCCGCUAAAUCCGUG
This 432-nucleotide ribosomal RNA is filed under the name uncultured bacterium. RNAcentral's name for it is "partial 16S ribosomal RNA". It matches the Rfam family "Bacterial small subunit ribosomal RNA", at positions 29 to 507 of the family's 1533-position model. The record is from RNAcentral.